This 423-nucleotide ribosomal RNA is filed under the name uncultured eukaryote. RNAcentral describes it as "SSU rRNA". It matches the Rfam family "Eukaryotic small subunit ribosomal RNA", at positions 592 to 1018 of the family's 1831-position model. The record is from RNAcentral.
CAACAGCGUAUAUUAAAGUUGUUGCGGUUAAAAAGCUCGUAGUUGGAUUUCUGCUGAGGACGACCGGUCCGCCCUCUGGGUGAGCAUCUGGUUCGGCUUGGGCAUCUUUCUGGAGAGCGUUGCUGCACUUGACUGUGUGGUGCGAUAUCCAGGACAUUUACUUUGAGGAAAUUAGAGUGUUUCAAGCAGGCACACGCCUUGAAUACAUUAGCAUGGAAUAAUAAUCUAGGACCCUAGUUCUUAUUUUGUUGGUUUCUAGAGCUGAGGUAAUGAUUAAUAGGGAUAGUUGGGGGCAUACGAAUUUAAUUGUCAGAGGUGAAAUUCUUGGAUUUGUUAAAGACGGACUACUGUGAAAGCAUUUGCCAAGAAUGUUUUCAUUGAUCAAGAAUGAAAGUUAGGGGGUCGAAGAUGAUUAGAUACCAU